RNAcentral lists this ribosomal RNA (209 nucleotides) under Escherichia coli. RNAcentral's name for it is "partial 23S ribosomal RNA". It matches the Rfam family "Bacterial large subunit ribosomal RNA", at positions 226 to 473 of the family's 2925-position model. Lineage: Bacteria; Pseudomonadati; Pseudomonadota; Gammaproteobacteria; Enterobacterales; Enterobacteriaceae. The record is from RNAcentral.
CAACCGAGAUUCCCCCAGUAGCGGCGAGCGAACGGGGAGGAGCCCAGAGCCUGAAUCAGUGUGUGUGUUAGUGGAAGUGUCUGGAAAGGCGCGCGAUACAGGGUGACAGCCCCGUACACAAAAAUGCACAUGCUGUGAGCUCGAUGAGUAGGGCGGGACACGUGGUAUCCUGUCUGAAUAUGGGGGGACCAUCCUCCAAGGCUAAAUAC